This 440-nucleotide ribosomal RNA is filed under the name uncultured bacterium. Its description in RNAcentral is "partial 16S ribosomal RNA". It matches the Rfam family "Bacterial small subunit ribosomal RNA", at positions 338 to 795 of the family's 1533-position model. The record is from RNAcentral.
CCUACGGGGAGCUGCAGUGGGGGAUAUUGCACAAUGGGGGGAACCCUGAUGCAGCGACGCCGCGUGGGUGAAGAAGCGCCUCGGCGCGUAAAGCCCUGUCAGCAGGGAAGAAAAUGACGGUACCUGAAGAAGAAGCACCGGCUAACUACGUGCCAGCAGCCGCGGUAAUACGUAGGGGGCCAGCGUUAUCCGGAUUUACUGGGUGUAAAGGGGGCGCAGACGGCGAGGCAAGCCAGGAGUGAAAGCCCGGGGCCCAACCCCGGGACUGCUGUGUGAACUGCGUGGCUGGAGUGCAGGAGGGGCAUGCGGAAUUCGUGGUGUAGCGGUGAAAUGCGUAGAUAUCAGGAGGAACACCGGUGGCGAAGGCGGCCUGCUGGACUGCAACUGACGUUGAGGCCCGAAAGCGUGGGUAGCGAACAGGAUUAGAUACCCUGGUAGUC